UACGGAGGGUGCAAGCGUUAUCCGGAUUUACUGGGUUUAAAGGGUGCGCAGGCGGAUAUGUAAGUCAGUGGUGAAAUCUCUAGGCUUAACCUGGAAAUUGCCGUUGAUACUAUAUAUCUUGAAUGUUGUGGAGGUAAGCAGAAUAUGUCAUGUAGCGGUGAAAUGCUUAGAUAUGACAUAGAACACCUAUUGCGAAGGCAGCUUACUACGCAUAUAUUGACGCUGAGGCACGAAAGCGUGGGGAUCAAACAGG
Molecule: ribosomal RNA, 253 nt
Filed under: uncultured bacterium
Lineage: Bacteria
Description: partial 16S ribosomal RNA
Rfam family: Bacterial small subunit ribosomal RNA
Source: RNAcentral